This 591-nucleotide ribosomal RNA is filed under the name uncultured fungus. RNAcentral's name for it is "SSU rRNA". It matches the Rfam family "Eukaryotic small subunit ribosomal RNA", at positions 20 to 614 of the family's 1831-position model. The record is from RNAcentral. Lineage: Eukaryota; Fungi.
GUAGUCAUAUGCUUGUCUCAAAGAUUAAGCCAUGCAUGUCUAAGUAUAAGCAAUUACAAAGCGAAACUGCGAAUGGCUCAUUAUAUAAGUUAUCGUUUAUUUGAUAGUACCUUACUACAUGGAUAACCGUGGUAAUUCUAGAGCUAAUACAUGCUGAAAAUCCCGACUUCGGAAGGGAUGUAUUUAUUAGAUACAAAACCAAUGCCCUUCGGGGCUCUCUUGGUGAUUCAUGAUAACUUCUCGAAUCGCACGGCCCCGCGCCGGCGAUGGUUCAUUCAAAUUUCUUCCCUAUCAACUUUCGAUGCUACGGUAUUGUCCUAGCAUGGUUGCAACGGGUGACGGAGGGUUAGGGCUCGACCCCGGAGAAGGAGCCUGAGAAACGGCUACUACAUCCAAGGAAGGCAGCAGGCGCGCAAAUUACCCAAUCCCGACUCGGGGAGGUAGUGACGAUAAAUACCGAUGCAGGGCUCUUUUGGGUCCUGUAAUUGGAAUGAGUACAAUUCAAAUCCCUUAACGAGGAACAAUUGGAGGGCAAGUCUGGUGCCAGCAGCCGCGGUAAUUCCAGCUCCAAUAGCGUAUAUUAAAGUUGUU